Molecule: ribosomal RNA, 447 nt
Filed under: uncultured bacterium
Lineage: Bacteria
Description: partial 16S ribosomal RNA
Rfam family: Bacterial small subunit ribosomal RNA
Source: RNAcentral
UUCCAGACUCCUACGGGAGGCAGCAGUGGGGAAUAUUGCACAAUGGGGGAAACCCUGAUGCAGCAACGCCGCGUGAGUGAAGAAGUAUUUCGGUAUGUAAAGCUCUAUCAGCAGGGAAGAGAAUGACGGUACCUGACUAAGAAGCCCCGGCUAACUACGUGCCAGCAGCCGCGGUAAUACGUAGGGGGCAAGCGUUAUCCGGAUUUACUGGGUGUAAAGGGGGCGCAGACGGCGAUGCAAGCCAGGAGUGAAAGCCCGGGGCCCAACCCCGGGACUGCUCUUGGAACUGCGUGGCUGGAGUGCAGGAGGGGCAGGCGGAAUUCCUGGUGUAGCGGUGAAAUGCGUAGAUAUCAGGAGGAACACCGGUGGCGAAGGCGGCCUGCUGGACUGCAACUGACGUUGAGGCCCGAAAGCGUGGGGAGCAAACAGGAUUAGAUACCCCCGUAA